GUAAUCAUCAUCAUCAUCAUCAUCAUCAUCAUCGUUAUUAUCAUCAUAAUCAUUGUUACAGUAGGGUAGCAUGGGCUUUGGUUAGGGUCAGUACUGACGUCACACAGAGGGGGCGAUGUCGACAUUACAGGUAAGUAGCAACAGCUGAGUGGACAGGUGGCGGAGAGUUUGAGACUGAGGUAAGAGUCGGGAGAAGGAGAAUAACCCGAGGAACUCACGCUGCUCGGACAUUCCAUGAAGGGAACACUUUCGCGAUAGAUAUAUAUGCAUGGGGAAUUAAAGACUGGAUCAAGGCGCGGGCUGGUCAGCAGGACUUAAGGUUCAUUCAACCGGGACGAGGAGCCGGUGCGGAGUAGAGACGGACCUGUGACGCCUCGCCUCACCGCCGGCCCCCUCUGCAGACAGCUCCCCCUGGCCCAACGCCACGGCGUCCUCCGCCCCGCCACGGCCCUCCGUUGGGGCCCUGCGGGGGGGCUGCAGGUGGGGUGAGAGGGACCACGGAGGGACCCCCUCCGCCUGCUCCUCUAAGGGCUCCAGGUUGAGCCGCGUCUCGGCUGGCGUUCCCUCCCUGGCCAUGGUUCCUGUCGCCCACUGGACUGGAGGAGCUGUGGGCGAAGCAGCACGGGGAGGUGGCAGCGGACCCGCCUCGAUCAGGCCGGGCGGUGGCACCCUGGUGGAACAUUGUGGACCGCUGAACGCAUGGGGAAUGUUGAUGUUUACGUCCCCGUUGCUGUUGCUCGGGGCAGUUUUUUGAGUGACAGGUUUAAUGGAAGAUCACAUGGGUCAGUGGGAGGAUGAUAGCCACAAUAAAAGUUAUUACCAUUGGUCUGGUAAAUCUUAA
This is a long non-coding RNA of Gadus macrocephalus (Pacific cod), 841 nucleotides long. RefSeq lists it as uncharacterized. NCBI's taxonomy places the organism in Eukaryota, Metazoa, Chordata, Actinopteri, Gadiformes, Gadidae. The record is from RefSeq and is a predicted model, not a curated record. The transcript has 2 exons.